RNAcentral lists this long non-coding RNA (2813 nucleotides) under Homo sapiens (human). RNAcentral describes it as "non-protein coding DSCR9:16". The record is from RNAcentral. Lineage: Eukaryota; Metazoa; Chordata; Mammalia; Primates; Hominidae.
AUCUGCUGCCGCCCUGAAUCAGCGUUAGCAUGUGGAGGCAACCUCAGCCCCCAGUUUUUGAAGAAGGUGAUUCAGAUUCAGACACAGGAAUUAUGGUGACGGUAGAAAUGGACUGGAAGGUUCGUUCCCCUUGCCCACCAAGACUCCAGAGCAGUUUCUUUCAGGGUGGAAACAGUCCCAACCUAGAAAGCUGAUCAGAAGACUCCCACCCACAUACCAGCAAUUGGUAUCUGCAUGGCUACGUACGCAGCUUCCUCUGAAUCCAGAUUUUCGUCUAGACUUUCAUCAGGAAGACAUAAGAUUUAUGGCUCCAGAUAGUACUAAUACCUCGUCCAACAUCACAAGCAGAGGCCUUCAACUGGGGGCCGUGACUACAAAGAGGGACCGUUCACAGACUGGCAACGAACCCAGAACGUAUACACCGAAAUCGUGUGCAGGGUGCUACUGUUUUGGGAGAAGAGCCGUAGCUUCUGUCUCAUCAUGGAGGAGGCGCCUGGCCUGGGAAAGGCCAUAUUGUCAAGUGGGAGGAGGAAGAGGCGCAGCCCCGUGUGGUGUGCGUGCUCAUCAGAGAAGCCAGCACAGACACUGGGACCCACUCGCGUCACCAAGAGCCAACCCCUCUUCAGGGUGAGUAAAGGAAAGAGCUUUCAUUGGAGGAAUGUGAAUACUUUUCAGUUAUCCAGCCCAGAGACACUGAAAGGAGACGGCAGUCCCGUCCUCCCCUUCUCUGGGUUGUGCUCAUCUCUCGAAACUACCUGCUUUUGCCACCAGCAGCUAAGCUAUAAAUUCCCUCAAUCACACCCCAUCCGAGACUACAGCCCGCACCCUAGAGCUUAACAAUGGAGAGCCAAUCGCCCAUCAAUGCCAUUUCUGUAAGCCUAUGAGAAUUCCUGGCAAACAACUUUGUAUCACCCCACUCCGUGUCCCCCUUUCUUUGCCUUAACAACCUACUUGUAACACAGGGGAACGGAGUUCAUAUCCAGGGUCACUGGGUCUGUAUCUUCUGGGCAGCUGUCCUCUCUUUGGCUCGAGUCAGCUCUUUAUUAUACUUUGUGCCUCAGCUGCUUUGCUUUAGAUGGACAGAGGCCAUGCACCCAAGAACCACACCACUCAGAGCCUGCUUCGAGGGGCUCCUCCAAGUCCCUGCCCUGGAGGAGCUAAGUCUGGAGAGAGGCCUGAAGCUGCCCAUCUUCAACCUCAGCCCAAAGAGCCGCCUGGAAACAAGCAUUCCAAAGGCUACUGGCCACCUUGCUCUUCUCAGCUUUGCUGGCUCUCACAGCGGAAACCACUGGCAAGUUUGUUCAAAGGGGGGCAAAAGCAACCACAUUUUCUAACUUUGUAUUCUCUUUUUUUUCCUCAUUCACUCUGUCACCCAGGCUGGAGUGCAGCGGCACGCUGCAACCUCCGCCUCCUGGGUUCAAGCAAUUCUCCUGCCUCAGCCUCCCAAGUAGCUGGGACUACAGGCAUGCACCACCACACCCAGCUAAUUUUUUGUAUUGUUAGUAGGGUUUCACCAAUGUUGGUCAGGCUGGUCUCGAACUCCUGACCUCAAGUGAUCCACCCAUCUCAGCCUCCCAAAGUGCUGGGAUUACAGGUGUGAGCACCCAGCCUAACUUUGUAUUCUCUAAAUGUAAAAGGCCACUACCAAACUAUACAACUCUUUUUCUUAUUUGUUCUCUGUAAUAAAAUGCCAAAACCAUAAUUGGAACUCUGGAUUUGAAAAUAGUGGCAUCAAGUCCGCGACCCCUCUUGGCUUCCUGGAAAUCACCCAAAGAAUGAGAACCAAAACCACAAACUGCAUUUUCGGCGAGGCAAGGAGAUAGCUAAAUACCAUGAAAUAGGUGGAAGAGCUGUUAAAAGAAGUGAAGACUGAGCAGGGGGACGUGAUGAAAAACGGAAAGAAGGCCCCCAGCUCUGCAAACGUGCUUCUUCUGGAAAGUGAGGGUACACCUGGGAACAGCUGAGGCCACACCCAGAGAGGCAUCCUGUCAACCCGCCCCAUGCUGGAAGCAGUCGGUCUCUGCAGUGGUGGAGACAAUGAGCCCCUCUGCAAGGUGCAAACGCCCUGCAGCUGGUUACUGCAUGGGCUCAUGCAAAGUCAAGAUGAAAGAAACUCUCACGUAAAUCCUCCGGCUAUUAGAACACUCCAGCCAGCCUGGUCUAGGAAUAAAUUCAUCUCCUGCAAGGAGAGGUUAAAAGGAACCAGCAGAGGAGCACAUGACAUCUAAUGGAUUAAAAAAUGAGAGUGGGAAGGGAAAGGAAGGAGGGGAAGUGAGGAAGGAGAGAAAUACGAGUGGCAGAUGAAUGCGAAAGCCAGGUCAGGUCACUGUUCCACUUAGAUUUUUCAGCAGCUCACCAUCUCAAGCACACAGUAAGAGCCACAGCAGCCUACAAAGGGGGACCCGCCCUCUCCUUACCUGACGGCCCUCAUAUGGGGCCCUCUGCUCCCUCGCUCCUGCCCUGGCCCCCUUGCCAUUCCUUUCAGAGGCCUGCACAUUCCAGCCUUAGGCAACUGCCCACGUUCCUUGCUCCACCUGCUUGUUCUUCUCAGAUACCUGCAGGACUCGGUUCCGUGAGCCCACAUUUGAAACUGUACUACUCCCUCCCUAGCACUCAUUAUCCCCCCUCCCUGACUGACUGCGCUCUGUGACACUUACACCUUCCAAAAUAAGACAAAAGUGCCUCCCUAUUUUAUUUAUUGUCUGUCUCCUGCCCCUGAACAUAAACUCCACCAGGGCAGAGUGAUUGGCAACAGUAGGCAUUCAAUGAACAUUUACUAAAUGAAUAAACGAUCAUUCACCAGAAGAAAAAUC